GACGAACGCUGGCGGCGUGCUUAACACAUGCAAGUCGAACGGUAAGGCCCUUCGGGGUACACGAGUGGCGAACGGGUGAGUAACACGUGGGUGAUCUGCCCUGCACUUCGGGAUAAGCCUGGGAAACUGGGUCUAAUACCGGAUAGGACCACUGCCUGCAUGGGUGGUGGUGGAAAGCUUUUGCGGUGUGGGAUGGGCCCGCGGCCUAUCAGCUUGUUGGUGGGGUGAUGGCCUACCAAGGCGACGACGGGUAGCCGGCCUGAGAGGGUGACCGGACACACUGGGACUGAGAUACGGCCCAGACUCCUACGGGAGGCAGCAGUGGGGAAUAUUGCACAAUGGGCGCAAGCCUGAUGCAGCGACGCCGCGUGAGGGAUGACGGCCUUCGGGUUGUAAACCUCUUUCAGCACCGACGAAGCGCAAGUGACGGUAGGUGCAGAAGAAGGACCGGCCGACUACGUGCCAGCCGCCGCAGUAA
RNAcentral lists this ribosomal RNA (478 nucleotides) under uncultured bacterium. RNAcentral's name for it is "partial 16S ribosomal RNA". It matches the Rfam family "Bacterial small subunit ribosomal RNA", at positions 28 to 523 of the family's 1533-position model. The record is from RNAcentral.